RNAcentral lists this ribosomal RNA (460 nucleotides) under uncultured bacterium. RNAcentral describes it as "partial 16S ribosomal RNA". It matches the Rfam family "Bacterial small subunit ribosomal RNA", at positions 338 to 795 of the family's 1533-position model. The record is from RNAcentral.
CCUACGGGAGGCAGCAGUGAGGAAUAUUGGUCAAUGGCCGAAAGGCUGAACCAGCCAAGUCGCGUGAAGGAAGAAUGAUCUAUGGUUUGUAAACUUCUUUUAUAUGGGAAUAAAGGUAUCCACGUGUGGAUAUUUGCAUGUACCCUAUGAAUAAGCAUCGGCUAACUCCGUGCCAGCAGCCGCGGUAAUACGGAGGAUGCGAGCGUUAUCCGGAUUUAUUGGGUUUAAAGGGUGCGUAGGUUGUUUGUUAAGUCAGCGGUGAAAGUUUGCGGCUCAACCAUAAAAUUGCCGUUGAAACUGGAAGACGUGAGUGUGUUUGAGGUAGGCGGAAUGCGUGGUGUAGCGGUGAAAUGCAUAGAUAUCACGCAGAACUCCGAUUGCGAAGGCAGCUUACUAAGCCAUAACUGACACUGAAGCACGAAAGCGUGGGGAUCAAACAGGAUUAGAUACCCCAGUAGUC